AAGACCUUGUGCUUUUGGAGCGGCCGAUGCCUGAUUAGCUUGUUGGUAAGGUAAAAGCUUACCAAGGCUUCGAUCAGUAGCUGGUCUGAGAGGACGACCAGCCACACUGGGACUGAGACGCGGCCCAGACUCCUACGGGAGGCAGCAGUGGGGAAUUUUGGACAAUGGGGGCAACCCUGAUCCAGCCAUGCCGCGUGAGUGAAGAAGGCCUUCGGGUUGUAAAGCUCUUUCAGCCGGAACGAAACGGUUACGGAUAAUACCCGUGACUACUGACGGUACCGGAAGAAGAAGCACCGGCUAACUACGUGCCAGCAGCCGCGGUAAUACGUAGGGUGCAAGCGUUAAUCGGAAUUACUGGGCGUAAAGCGUGCGCAGGUGGUUUUGUAAGUCAGAUGUGAAAGCCCCGGGCUCAACCUGGGAACU
Molecule: ribosomal RNA, 423 nt
Filed under: uncultured bacterium
Lineage: Bacteria
Description: bacterial SSU rRNA
Rfam family: Bacterial small subunit ribosomal RNA
Source: RNAcentral